RNAcentral lists this unclassified non-coding RNA (285 nucleotides) under Hevea brasiliensis (rubber tree). The record is from RNAcentral. Lineage: Eukaryota; Viridiplantae; Streptophyta; Magnoliopsida; Malpighiales; Euphorbiaceae.
GAAAUGUUUUAUCGCAUAAGGUUGGCUAUUAAAGACGCCAGAAUGAAGACGGGAAAGAGUACUUUCAUGAACCAGGAAGCCCGCCUUUGAGAAAGAAAGAGGCUUGAAAAUCAGUGAUGUGCUAUUGGGAGUUGCUGACAACAUUCUCUCUGUUAGUUAACCCUACUAUUUGCACUAAUGUCAGGCAGCAAUAUGGAUUACGAUCGAUUAUAUCUAGGUGACAAAUUCUUCUGUAUGAAUCUAAAAGGUUUCCACUCAAUUCCUUUGUCCAUUAAUCUUACCCCA